GGGAACGACCAUACCAUCAUGACAGCACCGCUUUCCGUCCGCUCAGCCAAAUUAAGCACGUUCGGGCCUGGUUAGUACUACGGUGGGGGACCACGUUGGAAUCACAGGUGUUGUUCUCU
Molecule: ribosomal RNA, 119 nt
Filed under: Nitzschia inconspicua
Lineage: Eukaryota; Bacillariophyta; Bacillariophyceae; Bacillariales; Bacillariaceae
Source: RNAcentral